Molecule: ribosomal RNA, 468 nt
Filed under: uncultured bacterium
Lineage: Bacteria
Description: partial 16S ribosomal RNA
Rfam family: Bacterial small subunit ribosomal RNA
Source: RNAcentral
GACGAACGCUGGCGGCGUGCUUAACACAUGCAAGUCGAACGGAAAGGCCCUGCUUUUGUGGGGUGCUCGAGUGGCGAACGGGUGAGUAACACGUGAGUAACCUGCCCUUGACUUUGGUAUAACUUCAGGAAACUGGGGCUAAUACCGGAUAGGAGCUCCUGCUGCAUGGUGGGGGUUGGAAAGUUUCGGCGGUUGGGGAUGGACUCGCGGCUUAUCAGCUUGUUGGUGGGGUAGUUGCUUACCAAGGCUUUGACGGGUAGCCGGCCUGAGAGGGUGACCGGCCACAUUGGGACUGAGAUACGGCCCAGACUCCUACGGGAGGCAGAAGUGGGGAAUAUUGCACAAUGGGCGGAAGCCUGAUGCAGCAACGCCGCGUGCGGGAUGACGGCCUUCGGGUUGUAAACCGCUUUCGCCUGUGACGAAGCGUGAGUGACGGUAAUGGGUAAAGAAGCACCGGCUAACUACGUG